UUGUGGGGAUGGGGCCAAAUAUG
This 23-nucleotide non-coding RNA is filed under the name Cricetulus griseus (Chinese hamster). The record is from RNAcentral. Lineage: Eukaryota; Metazoa; Chordata; Mammalia; Rodentia; Cricetidae.